CAGUUGUCGUGCCAACGGCAUAGCUGGGUAGCUAUGUGUGGACGGGAUAAGUGCUGAAAGCAUCUAAGCAUGAAGCCCCCCUCAAGAUGAGAUUUCCCAACUUCGGUUAUAAGAUCCCUCAAAGAUGAUGAGGUUAAUAGGUUCGAGGUGGAAGCAUGGUGACAUGUGGAGCUGACGAAUACUAAUCGAUCGAAGACUUAAUCAA
This 205-nucleotide ribosomal RNA is filed under the name Staphylococcus aureus. RNAcentral describes it as "partial 23S ribosomal RNA". It matches the Rfam family "Bacterial large subunit ribosomal RNA", at positions 2718 to 2925 of the family's 2925-position model. Lineage: Bacteria; Bacillati; Bacillota; Bacilli; Caryophanales; Staphylococcaceae. The record is from RNAcentral.